Molecule: ribosomal RNA, 486 nt
Filed under: uncultured bacterium
Lineage: Bacteria
Description: partial 16S ribosomal RNA
Rfam family: Bacterial small subunit ribosomal RNA
Source: RNAcentral
AUUGAACGCUGGCGGCAUGCCUUACACAUGCAAGUCGAACGGCAGCACGGGUGCUUGCACCUGGUGGCGAGUGGCGAACGGGUGAGUAAUACAUCGGAACAUGUCCUGUAGUGGGGGAUAGCCCGGCGAAAGCCGGAUUAAUACCGCAUACGAUCUACGGAUUAAAGCGGGGGACCUUCGGGCCUCGCGCUAUCGGGUUGGCCGAUGGCUGAUUUGCUAUUUGGUGGGGUAAAGGCCUACCAAGGCGACUAUCAGUAGCUGGUCUGAGAGGACGACCAGCCACACUGGGACUGAGACACGGACCAGACUCCUACGGGAGGCAGCAGUGGGGAAUUUUGGACAAUGGGCGAAAGCCUGAUCCAGCAAUGCCGCGUGUGUGAAGAAGGCCUUCGGGUUGUAAAGCACUUUUGUCCGGAAAGAAAUCCUUGGCCCUAAUACGGUCGGGGGAUGACGGUACCGGAAGAAUAAGCACCGGCUAACUACGUG